RNAcentral lists this ribosomal RNA (253 nucleotides) under uncultured bacterium. Its description in RNAcentral is "partial 16S ribosomal RNA". It matches the Rfam family "Bacterial small subunit ribosomal RNA", at positions 524 to 776 of the family's 1533-position model. The record is from RNAcentral.
UACGUAGGGUGCAAGCGUUAAUCGGAAUUACUGGGCGUAAAGCGUGCGCAGGCGGUUUUGUAAGACCGAUGUGAAAUCCCCGGGCUUAACCUGGGAACUGCAUUGGUGACUGCAAGGCUUGAGUGUGUCAGAGGGAGGAGGAAUUCCGCGUGUAGCAGUGAAAUGCGUAGAUAUGCGGAGGAACACCGAUGGCGAAGGCAGCCUCCUGGGAUAACACUGACGCUCAUGCACGAAAGCGUGGGGAGCAAACAGG